GAGCCCUUGAUGCAUGGAACUUCCUUCCAUCUCAUAUUGCUCAAAGAAACAGCAAACCUGGUUUCAAAAAACAAAUAAAGCAACACCUCACAGCACAACUCCUCUCCCCUAUUUAACCUAGAUAGUUGGUCUGUAUGCAUUGAUAUGUAAGCUAUGUGUGCCUUUAUACAGUUCUGUCCUUGAGCUGUUCUUGUCUGUUGAUGUUCUGUAUUAUGUCAUUCUGUAUUAUGUUUCAUGUUUUGUGUGGACGCCAGGAAGAGUAGCUGCUGCUUUUGCAACAGCUAAUGGGGAUCCUAAUAAAACAAACCUAAACCUAACAAACCUAAUACCACUACCGCCGUGUCUUCACCAGCAGUCUAUAUCCUCACCAAGUUAGCAGAGGGUAGUUCGUAUGCCCCCUUCACUGGACAGGUGGCUCCAGUGGCCGUUCUGAAGCCCAGGAAGGCAUAUGAGCAGGCGGUGGUGAGCUCCCUGCCGGGCAGGUCAAAGGGCUAGUGGGGUGUUAUGCCCUGUUCCAUUACCUGAUGCUGCAGAUGUCAGCCUGGCCAGGGAGAGGCUGGAGCAACACCCCAGUAUGUCAGCCCAGGGGUCAGCUAGCAGCGAGCGACACACAGACACAGAGCUCUGCUGCCUCAGAGUGUGAGGCCCUGGCUGUCCAGCAGGCGGCACUGCUGUGCUACCACAGCAGCACCAGCGUGUACCCAGUCAGCCAUCUCAGACUGGCGCUGACCUCGGUGCUAGCCUGCUCUGCCUCGAGUGCCCCCCUGUGGCAGCUCUAUGUGCAGAUGGAGAACCGCUACCACAGCGGCGGCAGGGCACGCCGCUUAUUCCACAGCGUGGCCAAGGCUAGUGCCAGUGUCGUGCCGCGCCUGUUCGCCAUCAGUGCAGAGCAGCAGAGGAAGCAGCUGGUGGACUCUACAUACGUGGGAACACUAGGGAUGGAAGACUUUAAUCAGUAUCAAUUUAAUCAAAUAAUGUUGAUAACAGAACACACACACACAAAUAGAUAGUACUAGUCUGCAGUAGCUCACAUUUAGAUUGAAGUUCAUUUGGUUAGCUAACUGGAUGUUUUUUCGCAAGUUGUUAUUGCUUUCUUGGCAGGUCUGGUUGCUAUGGCGACACCUUCUCCACCCUUCCAGAGAACGGCCUAAGCAACCGUAUUCGCUCACUGUUUGAGAACGCCAUAGCAACAGAGCACGGGGUCCCACGGUCCGUUGCUGUGGAGGAUGUACAUGAAUUUCCUGGUGUCAGAAGGGAAAGUGGAGAAGGGAAGAGGGCUCUCUAGGAUGGGCCAAGGGUUUAUACAUGGACACGGUGCAGCUCUUUCCUGAGCACGUGCAGGAGUUCCUGGACCUGAUGACAGCAGGAGCUCAGACAGAGUUCCCGUGGAGGAGGUGGACAUACUGCUGGAGGACUGAGGCUCUAAAACUCUUCCCACAGUGCAACAGGGCCCUGGCUUCCUCAGACACUACUGUGGACACUCAGACGUCGUGCACUGACCAAUAGAACAGUGUCCUCAGAAAAAAUAGCAUUUUACUUUUCAAACAGUGAAUAAAUGAUUUUACACAUAUACUGUAUUAUGUGUUAAUUCAAAAAAUGUCCAUAUUUUGAUGGAUUUAAUAUCUAUUUUUAUGUCAAGGACUUGAGUUUAAAAUGAUAAAAAAAUAGAUUACUCCGAUAAUUGAAAAUGAAUGUUUUGUUUCCCAACACUGGUCUGCCAACCUUUAUUUAAAAAUAAGCUCUAAGCCUUUCACACAUUGUGAAUCCUGAGGGAUGCUUGUGUGCAUUUCCUGCGGGAUAACGACAUCACAGCUUAAUGGUGUGGAACGGAGCACACCGGAGUGUACACUUUAGAGUCAGGAGGGAAGGAGAGAGGAAACACAGACAUGAGGGUAGAGAAGCUUUAUAUAGUCUCAUUACUGCUUAUCCUUCAGAGUAGUAGAGCAUCCACUCUGGCUGUCUCAGGUGAGUCUGACACUUCAGAUGACCUUUAACCUAUUAUAAUGUGCUUCUGUGAGUUUACUGGAUUGGCCUCUGCCUUUACAUGCUACUAACUAUAUGCUACAUUUCUACUUGAUACCAACUACUCAGGCUGUGCUAUGGUGAUGUAGAAUUUCAUUAGUGAAAUAUAUGGUACCAUGGAUAUCAUGUAGUCUUCAUAGCUUUCUCAUAGCUGUAUUUACGUUUUUUUCCAGAAAUCAGAUCAACAGAACUUUUACCUUUUCUAUAUUUGAAAAUAACUUCCAUUCAUGAUGUUCUUUAUUCUGAUCACAGAUAAAGAAUGUAAUGAUGAUGCAUUUCCUGUCCGGGAAGACUGUGAAGUUGACACAGUGUGUGGAGAAGCUGUAUGUCAUCACAACCAGUAUGUCACCUGCCAUGUCAACCGCUGUGGCACCUGUGAACCUGUGUUCCGAGGCUAUGACAACAUCACUGUCAACUGCACCCAGUGUAAGACCAUCUUCUGUGGCUUACAUCUCUUAUCUGCAGUGGGAUUUGCCUUGUAUAUCAGUAUGAUUUUAGACAUUUAGGCUUGGACAUAAAUUAAGUGGUUCAAUUGCUUCCUUUAUAUAAAUCCACACACAUUACUCUGUAGGCUAUGUCUAUCUGAUAUCUGAGUAAGUUUGGAAUGAUAUAUGAAAUUGGAAAUAUCUCAUGUUAUUGAACUCUUCAUCAGUGACUCCCAAGUGUCGUCUAAUACACCUGGAGAUGUUGAGCAAGCACAGGACAGGAACCAUGUUAACUGGGGGGAGUUUAGGGACAAAGUACCAUCCAAACUGUGAUGGAGCUGGUAUGUUCAGACCUAAACAGUGCAGAGAGGAGGAGGACACCAAACUAUGCUGGUGUGUUAACAAGGCUGGAGUCCCAGUCUCUGACAAGACACAUGACCCCCUCAAAUGUGACAGGCUGGUCACAGUCCAUGUAAUUGAUAUUCAAUUCACAUUUAAAGUGGCGUUCACACCUGUUGCAAAAACCAUGGAUGAGAUACGAAGGUUUGUGUCCUUCCUCUGUAGUAACCCAUUGAUAUGCAGUUUUUAUUAAAUACAAUUUUUAUUGAAAAGUUAUGUUGUCACGGCACCAUUGUUGUUUCAGGCAGUUGGUAUUAAAGCUGGACAGGGAAUAUACGCUGGAUAAAACACAGAUCUUAGACAUAACUGUGAGUAAGCAGGCAUGUUUCCUCACAGAUUAUCGUUUGAGAUUGUGAGUGAGCUCUGUCUUUAUGAAUGUGUUAUUUGUGCCGGUCGGCCACCUCCUCAGGUGCGGGAACUAUACCAAGUAGUGUCCAUCCGCCUGACUGACAACAGGACAGACAAAGAGCCAGUGGACAUAGCAACUGUGGCCUACUACAUUGAGAGAGAUGUGAGACAUUUUGUAAGAGCUGUAUCUGCUUUCAGACAUUUCAAAAAGGCUGUUUGCUUGUAAAGUCAUUGAAUAUCUCUAACAGUCGAUGGGGGCUCCAUAUUUUAAGAAAUAAUACUUUUUUUGUAUAAAGGUCUGUUCAAUCGGACAUGCCUGGUGCUAAUAUUUUGCUUUAACUAUGCAGUGAAAUGUAACUGUUUUGCCAUCCCGUCUAGUUGAAAAGCAACAAGUUUGGGUUUGAGGUGGACGGCCGGAGACUAGAGGUGGCGAGGGACUCCAUCAAGGUCCUAUUCUUUCACUAUGACCACCCACACAUGGAAAUGAUGACCAUCAAUCCAGGCUUUGCUGCCCUCAUCCUCAUCAUUGCUCUGGCCAUUAUCAUUGGUGUUUCUGUGUCUGUGAGUAAGAGCAAAACUAAUUGUACAAUACCACUGCCAUCCUCACAUCACAACUUCUCUCUCUCUUUGUCCAUCACUAUUGUCAGGUGGUGGUACAAAGGAAAGCUCUGCUGGAGAGGAGAUUCCAGUUUGAAGUCAUUGAGGUUCAAGGGCAGGACAACCACCUGGAACAGCAAGAAGCUACCAUGACCUACUUUGUUAUGUGACAUACUUUAAUAUCUUUGUUGGUUAUAGUAGAUUUGUUUGUUUUUUAGUUGUCACUCAGUUCAUUUAUAUGCAAAGUUGUUGUCCAAUUAUCUCUUUCCCUGCCUGAAACAAUAGUCAGCUGCACAUUAUGGAAAUAUUGUAAUUGGUUGAUUUCUUAACCUGUUGCUUUAAUUAAAUAUUAAACAAGAAUUGACCAUGGAUGAAAAAAAAAAUCUAUAUGUACUUUAUUUGAAAUAAAAAUCUGAAUUGUU
Molecule: long non-coding RNA, 4213 nt
Organism: Salvelinus namaycush (lake trout)
Lineage: Eukaryota; Metazoa; Chordata; Actinopteri; Salmoniformes; Salmonidae
Exons: 5
Source: RefSeq, a predicted model, not a curated record